Molecule: long non-coding RNA, 629 nt
Organism: Maniola jurtina (meadow brown)
Lineage: Eukaryota; Metazoa; Arthropoda; Insecta; Lepidoptera; Nymphalidae
Exons: 3
Source: RefSeq, a predicted model, not a curated record
UCGUAGGGUUGGCAUCUGUUCGCCAAUCAUUGGAAGGUUUAUUUCGUACUAAAUACGAUCAACCUACUUGGAUUACAAUGUACGAUCUACCUACUUGGAUUUUCUUCGAAAAAUAUUCUAAAAAUGAGAAAUUGAUCUAUCUGUUUGUCAACUACUGUGAAAAAUCUAAUCAAAAGAAAUAACCAGUAGAAAAGAAACAAAACAUCACGAGAAUCCCAUUCAGUUAACGUAUUUUAAUGUAUCUUUAUCAAUUAAAAUAGGAACUAUUAGAAUUAAUCACAGAAAAAAAGGAUGUAUUUACCUACUCAAGUGACAUAAAAUUCUAGCCUCUUAUAUUCUUCUUUGAGACGCUUCUCUUUUUAACGAUUGGUAUACAAUUUCCAUAAAUGGGCUCUCCAGAUGAUCUCAGUAUUCGGAAUGCAUUACAUAUAAUAAGGAAUAACACGCUAAAAGCGCUGCAUAAAAUGGUACCUACUGGACGGUCUAUUGGAAUACUCUCGAUGUGGUCUGAGAGCGAACAAUGUUGUGAGGGAUUAUACGUGAUGAAACUGAAAUCCCCACCCUAAUGAGGUUCUGUUCAUUGCUUCCCGUAUUAUCUCAAGCAAUUAUCUGCUACUCCCGUCCUAUUG